GUGGCCGAACGCAAUAUAGUGCGAGGUCGGUAUGUGGAUCCGAUGCUAGAGGGUGCAAAUCCCUCCGGCCACACCA
RNAcentral lists this transfer RNA (76 nucleotides) under Sphingomonas kyeonggiensis. Its description in RNAcentral is "tRNA-His". It matches the Rfam family "tRNA". From Rfam's summary of the family: Transfer RNA (tRNA) molecules are approximately 80 nucleotides in length. Their secondary structure includes four short double-helical elements and three loops (D, anti-codon, and T loops). Further hydrogen bonds mediate the characteristic L-shaped molecular structure. tRNAs have two regions of fundamental functional importance: the anti-codon, which is responsible for specific mRNA codon recognition, and the 3' end, to which the tRNAs corresponding amino acid is attached (by aminoacyl-tRNA synthetases). tRNAs cope with the degeneracy of the genetic code in two manners: having more than one tRNA (with a specific anti-codon) for a particular amino acid; and 'wobble' base-pairing, i.e. permitting non-standard base-pairing at the 3rd anti-codon position. The record is from RNAcentral. Lineage: Bacteria; Pseudomonadati; Pseudomonadota; Alphaproteobacteria; Sphingomonadales; Sphingomonadaceae.